GCUGUGGUUCAGGGGGAAAGCUUUUGCUUUGCAUGCAGAAGGUCUGAGGUUCAAUCCCCAGCAUCUCCA
RNAcentral lists this transfer RNA (69 nucleotides) under Sphaerodactylus townsendi. Its description in RNAcentral is "tRNA-Ala". It matches the Rfam family "tRNA". From Rfam's summary of the family: Transfer RNA (tRNA) molecules are approximately 80 nucleotides in length. Their secondary structure includes four short double-helical elements and three loops (D, anti-codon, and T loops). Further hydrogen bonds mediate the characteristic L-shaped molecular structure. tRNAs have two regions of fundamental functional importance: the anti-codon, which is responsible for specific mRNA codon recognition, and the 3' end, to which the tRNAs corresponding amino acid is attached (by aminoacyl-tRNA synthetases). tRNAs cope with the degeneracy of the genetic code in two manners: having more than one tRNA (with a specific anti-codon) for a particular amino acid; and 'wobble' base-pairing, i.e. permitting non-standard base-pairing at the 3rd anti-codon position. The record is from RNAcentral. Lineage: Eukaryota; Metazoa; Chordata; Lepidosauria; Squamata; Sphaerodactylidae.